UGGGGAAUAUUGGACAAUGGGCGAAAGCCUGAUCCAGCCAUGCCGCGUGUGUGAAGAAGGUCUUCGGAUUGUAAAGCACUUUAAGUUGGGAGGAAGGGCUGCAAGUUAAUACCUUGUAGUUUUGACGUUACCAACAGAAUAAGCACCGGCUAACUUCGUGCCAGCAGCCGCGGUAAUACGAAGGGUGCAAGCGUUAAUCGGAAUUACUGGGCGUAAAGCGCGCGUAGGUGGUUUGGUAAGAUGGAUGUGAAAUCCCCGGGCUCAACCUGGGAACUGCAUCCAUAACUGCCUGACUAGAGUACGGUAGAGGGUGGUGGAAUUUCCUGUGUAGCGGUGAAAUGCGUAGAUAUAGGAAGGAACACCAGUGGCGAAGGCGACCACCUUGACUGAUACUGACACUGAGGUGCGAAAGCGUGGGGAGCAAACA
RNAcentral lists this ribosomal RNA (427 nucleotides) under uncultured bacterium. RNAcentral describes it as "bacterial SSU rRNA". It matches the Rfam family "Bacterial small subunit ribosomal RNA", at positions 355 to 774 of the family's 1533-position model. The record is from RNAcentral.